GAUGGACGCUGGCGGCGUGCCUAACACAUGCAAGUCGAACGGAAAGGCGACAGCCUGGCGGGGCACUCGUGAGGCGAACGGGGGAGUAAAACGCGGGUGAACUGCACUGAAAACUGGGAUAAGCCUGGGAAAAUGGGGCUAAUAUAGGAUAGGAUCGAGCGAUAGGGAGUGCGGAGGAAAGAAUUACGGUGCUGGAUGAGCGCGCAGCCGAUCAGCUGGUUAGUGGGGUAAUGGCUUACGAAGGCGGCGACGGAUAGCCGGCAUGAGAGGGUGUACGGGCACAUUGGGACUGCGACACGGCGCAGUCGCCUACGUGAGGCAGCAGUGGAAAGUAUUGCGCAGUGGGCCCAAGCCUGAUGCGGCGGCGCCGCGUGCGGAAUGACGGCCUUCGGGUUAUAAACCCCUGUCGACGGGAACGUAGCUUUUGUGACGGUACCUGAAUAGAAAGCACCGGCUAACUACGUG
RNAcentral lists this ribosomal RNA (465 nucleotides) under uncultured bacterium. RNAcentral describes it as "partial 16S ribosomal RNA". It matches the Rfam family "Bacterial small subunit ribosomal RNA", at positions 28 to 507 of the family's 1533-position model. The record is from RNAcentral.